This 458-nucleotide ribosomal RNA is filed under the name uncultured bacterium. RNAcentral describes it as "bacterial SSU rRNA". It matches the Rfam family "Bacterial small subunit ribosomal RNA", at positions 34 to 507 of the family's 1533-position model. The record is from RNAcentral.
CGCUGGCGGCGCGCCUAACACAUGCAAGUCGAACGAGAGAUGAGGAGCUUGCUCUUCAAAUCGAGUGGCGGACGGGUGAGUAACGCGUGAGGAACCUGCCUUGAAGAGGGGGACAACAGUUGGAAACGACUGCUAAUACCGCAUGAUGCAUAGGGGUCGCAUGAUUCUUAUGCCAAAGAUUUAUCGCUUCAAGAUGGCCUCGCGUCUGAUUAGCUAGUUGGCGGGGUAACGGCCCACCAAGGCGACGAUCAGUAGCCGACCUGAGAGGGUGACCGGCCACAUUGGGACUGAGACACGGCCCAGACUCCUACGGGAGGCAGCAGUGGGGAAUAUUGCACAAUGGAGGAAACUCUGAUGCAGCGACGCCGCGUGAGUGAAGAAGUAGUUCGCUAUGUAAAGCUCUAUCAGCAGGGAAGAUAGUGACGGUACCUGACUAAGAAGCUCCGGCUAAAUACGUG